AUUGAACGCUGGCGGAAUGCUUUACACAUGCAAGUCGAACGGCAGCACGGACUUCGGUCUGGUGGCGAGUGGCGAACGGGUGAGUAAUGUAUCGCAACGUGCCCAGUCGUGGGGGAUAACGUAGUGAAAAUUACGCUAAUACCGCAUACGAUCUAUGGACGAAAGCGGGGGAUCGCAAGAACUCGCGCGAUUGGAGCGGCCGAUAUCAGAUUAGGUAGUUGGUGGGGUAAAGGCCCACCAAGCCAACGAUCGGUAGCUGGUCUGGGAGGACGACCAGCCACACUGGAACUGAGACACGGUCCAGACUCCUACGGGAGGCAGCAGUGGGGAAUUUUGGACAAUGGGCGAAAGCCUGAUCCAGCCAUUCCGCGUGCAGGAUGAAGGCCCUCGGGUUGUAAACUGCUUUUGUACAGAACGAAAAGGUUUCUACUAAUACUAGGAGCUCAUGACGGUACUGUAAGAAUAAGCACCGGCUAACUACGUGCCAGCCGCCGCCGUAA
This 500-nucleotide ribosomal RNA is filed under the name uncultured bacterium. RNAcentral describes it as "partial 16S ribosomal RNA". It matches the Rfam family "Bacterial small subunit ribosomal RNA", at positions 30 to 523 of the family's 1533-position model. The record is from RNAcentral.